Molecule: ribosomal RNA, 253 nt
Filed under: uncultured bacterium
Lineage: Bacteria
Description: partial 16S ribosomal RNA
Rfam family: Bacterial small subunit ribosomal RNA
Source: RNAcentral
UACGUAGGGUGCGAGCGUUAAUCGGAAUUACUGGGCGUAAAGCGUGCGCAGGCGGUUUUGUAAGCCAGAUGUGAAAUCCCCGGGCUUAACCUGGGAAUGGCAUUUGGGACUGCAAGGCUUGAGUGCGGCAGAGGAGACUGGAAUUCCUGGUGUAGCAGUGAAAUGCGCAGAUAUCAGGAGGAACACCGGUGGCGAAGGCGGGUCUCUGGGCCGAUACUGACGCUGAGGAGCGAAAGCGUGGGGAGCAAACAGG